ACUGAGCUCGAUUUUGUUUUCUUUUCUUUAUGUCGCCUUCUUUCUUUUGAUGCUGAGGGUAGUGUUCAUGCUAGGCUGAUAUGAACUGCCGUUGUACCCAAAAAAAAAAAAGCACUCGUGUUGCCCAUGUUGAAUAGGAUGUUUUACUAAUCUAAUUGAUCUCUCUCUCUCUGUGGUUAGAUAUUUUGUCACACUCUCCCUUCCCUGUCAACUAUUCCAC
This 220-nucleotide long non-coding RNA is filed under the name Phoenix dactylifera (date palm). Its description in RNAcentral is "long non-coding RNA (PDAC_LNC003842)". Lineage: Eukaryota; Viridiplantae; Streptophyta; Magnoliopsida; Arecales; Arecaceae. The record is from RNAcentral.